GCCGGGCGUGGUGGCGGGCGCCUGUAAUCCGAGCUACUAGGGAGGCUGAGGCAAGGGAAUCGCUUGAACCCGGGAGGCAGAGGUUACAGUGGGCCAAGAUCACGCCACUGCACUCCAGCCCGGGUGACAGAGCGAGACUCUGUCUCCA
Molecule: signal recognition particle RNA, 148 nt
Filed under: Nomascus leucogenys (northern white-cheeked gibbon)
Lineage: Eukaryota; Metazoa; Chordata; Mammalia; Primates; Hylobatidae
Description: Metazoan signal recognition particle RNA
Rfam family: Metazoan signal recognition particle RNA
About the family: The signal recognition particle (SRP) is a universally conserved ribonucleoprotein. It is involved in the co-translational targeting of proteins to membranes.
Source: Rfam by way of RNAcentral